RNAcentral lists this ribosomal RNA (430 nucleotides) under uncultured bacterium. Its description in RNAcentral is "bacterial SSU rRNA". It matches the Rfam family "Bacterial small subunit ribosomal RNA", at positions 354 to 796 of the family's 1533-position model. The record is from RNAcentral.
GUGGGGAAUAUUGCACAAUGGGCGCAAGCCUGAUGCAGCAACGCCGCGUGAGGGACGACGGCCUUCGGGUUGUAAACCUCUUUUAGCAGGGAAGAAGCGAAAGUGACGGUACCUGCAGAAAAAGCACCGGCUAACUACGUGCCAGCAGCCGCGGUAAUACGUAGGGUGCAAGCGUUGUCCGGAAUUAUUGGGCGUAAAGAGCUCGUAGGCUGUUUGUCGCGUCUGCUGUUAAAACCCGAGGCUCAACCUCGGGCCUGCAGUGGGUACGGGCAGACUAGAGUGCGGUAGGGGAGAUUGGAAUUCCUGGUGUAGCGGUGGAAUGCGCAGAUAUCAGGAGGAACACCGAUGGCGAAGGCAGAUCUCUGGGCCGUAACUGACGCUGAGGAGCGAAAGCGUGGGGAGCGAACAGGAUUAGAUACCCUUGUAGUCC